UGGAAUCACUCAGAAAUCUGCUAUUCAAACUGGUACUCUAUGAUAUACACUCUCCAACUUGAGGGGGGGGGGGUAUUGAAGUAUUAAGGAUUAAUAUUAUCUAAACUAAGUUAUGCUAAGUAGAUAGAUCGGCCCACACUCAAGGUCCAAUAGAAUAGUUAGUAUAAAUAGUAUUGUUGUAAUUAUUUUAUUUAUUUUUGAUAAAUCUUAAUACAAAGCAAAACCCUAGGGUUUCCCAAACGUCUCAUCUCCCCUCCGCGACUCCUCACUAUCCUCGUCAGUCUCCCAACGCUGCUCCGACUCACACGUCACCGGACUCACUACUCUCUUCAAGGUUAUCGAUUUUUUGAUACAGAUCUAAAGAUCCAACACCCUAUCUGGUUAACUCGUAUCACAAUAUUCUUCUCAGGUGGAACUACUUGAUCAUUAAGGAUCAAGUCAGACAAAUGGUGGAGUUGCAAGAGACUUUUGAUUUAAGCACGCCAAAACAGAUAGGUAUCGUUGCGAGGUUCCAACGGAUUUCUCACCCAAUGUGAAACUUGGCAUCGAUGAACGUUAUCUGACAGUAGCGAAGUGGGGGAAUUUGAAGAAGAUUCUUGAGUGGUCAUCGUCGUUGAUUUGGUGGAGAUAGAAAAUCUCCAGAUUGUGUACGUUUACCACCUGAGAUGAGAAGAGAUGAAAACAAAAGAGGAGAAAAAAGAAAACAAUUAUAGGGAAAAAACUAACCUGGCCUAAUGAGCAUUAUCUGGAGUAGUGGGGUCAUCGGUGUUGGUUUGUUGAAUUGGCAGAGAUGGUUGUUGGCGGUUAUGAUGUCCGGUGGUCUUGGCUGGCCGAAUAUUUGGUCUAUAACCUAACGAGCACAGCUUGAAGACCGUCUACCAGGUGAGUGACCGUACCCGAGGAUGUGGUUUGAAGUUUCGAUGUAGCUUCCACCCGUCAAUACAGUGAUGAGUUGCUAGAUUCUGCACGAUCGUUGUCUGCAGGUGGAAGACCAGAGUUCUCGUUUGCCAUGGAGGUGAGUUACGGAAUCUGAAAGCACCAAAUGUAGAGACUUAGGUGCUAGCUCCGACGAUGAUAACCGUUAAACUAAAAAAAAUUAAUACCAAGCAGAAAAAUAUCGUAAAACCUCCGUAGCUAGGGGUGAGAACGAGACGGGUCCCCUCUGGUGUUGGAUCGUGAUCUGAGGCUAUAAGGGGGGAUAAUAGCCUCUUUUCGAUUUAUACAGGUUGAUUGUGAAAUUACCUGUAAACACUUAAUAAACAAAUGGUUGAACAAUAAUGAUAUAGAGAUAUUAUAACUUUGAUUGAUAUAAUAACGUAAUUAUUACUCUUCGAAGCUUACCACAGUAUAUGAAUACUGAGUCAACUUGCUUGAUAGUGUCUUACAAACAACUAUAGUAUAUGAGUACUAAAUUAUAUUGUAAACACAAAUUGUAUUGUAGAGUAAAUGACUAGAUAACUGGAUAUUUUGAUAAGCAAGUAAAUGAUCAGAUAACUGGAUAUAUAUGAUAAGUAAAUGCUUGAACAAAUAUAAGGAUUUAAAGCAAUGAAUAUAACCUCAGAUAGUUGACCAGAUAACUGGAUGAGGGAUCUGCGUAAAGUAGUCAACCUCUGUAUUUGACCAGAUAACUGGAAGAGAGAUCCUUUUCAAUGAAGUGUUGUUUAGUUGUUUUUAGAUGAAAGAUAAAAACUAGAGUUAACAAAGAACAACACAAGAGAUUUAUACUGGUUCACCCAAACAAGGACUAAUCCAGUCCCGACCAACUGUCGGAAUUCACUCGCCUAAAGGUUAUGGCAAACCUUAGAGUAUCAAAGAAACUCUUAAGAACCUCUCUAAGCUUUAAUGCUACUUUACUUAGGAACCAGUCUUUUACGAGUAGACUCACACCUUAGAGUAUCAAGGGCACUCUUAAGUACCUCUAACUUUUGCGGGUAAGUUAAUACCUUAGAGUAUCAAGGAACUCUUAAAAACCUCUCUAAGCUUUAAGACUACUUCGCUUAGGAACCAGUCUUUUACGGGUAGACUCACACUUUAGAGUAUCAAGGGCACUCUUAAGAACCUCUAACUUUUACGGGUAAGUUAGUAUCUUAGAGUAUCAAGGAACUCUUAAAAACCUAGAAAUCUUUCAAGGUAGAUUCGACUUAAGAGUUUUCCCGGAAACUCUAUAAAACCAAACUAGAGCUUUAUGGUUGAGCUCGAAAACCUUCUCUCACACUUUGGUACUAUUGAGACAACCCUCUCAACCAAAGUGGACACACACAAGAGGUGAUUAGAGGAGUGGAAUAUUUAAGCAAACAACACUUCUUACUUGUAGAGAUGAACAAAAAGAUUAGAAGAAGAAGUUGGAGAGCUUUUGAAGCUUUGGAAAGCUAGGACACUUGAGCACUUGAAAGCUUGGAAGCUUGGAGGCAAAAACGUGUGGGCAAGUGUGGAGUGAAAGCUCUUGAGUUUGCUUGUAGUGUGGUGAGUGAAAAUGAGGGGUUUACCUUUCUAUUUAUAGCCUUGGCCACUCAAUGUC
RNAcentral lists this long non-coding RNA (2518 nucleotides) under Zostera marina. RNAcentral describes it as "long non-coding RNA (ZMAR_LNC005961)". Lineage: Eukaryota; Viridiplantae; Streptophyta; Magnoliopsida; Alismatales; Zosteraceae. The record is from RNAcentral.